Molecule: ribosomal RNA, 365 nt
Filed under: uncultured organism
Description: bacterial LSU rRNA
Rfam family: Bacterial large subunit ribosomal RNA
Source: RNAcentral
CUUUACUGCAACUUGACGUUGGAACUUGGCUGUAUUUGUGUAGGAUAGGUGGGAGACUUUGAAGCAGGGCCGCCAGGUCUUGCGGAGUCGUCGUUGAAAUACCACCCUGGUGCUGACGAGUUUCUAACCGUGUCCGUAAGCCGGACAUGAGACAGCGUCUGGUGGGCAGUUUGACUGGGGCGGUCGCCUCCUAAAGGUAACGGAGGCAUCCAAAGGUCCCCUCAGCGUGGUCGGUAAUCACGCGCAGAGUGCAAACGCAUAAGGGGGCUUAACUGCGAGACCGACAGGUCGAGCAGGUACGAAAGUAGGAGUGAGUGAUCCCGCGGUUUAGCGUGGAAUUGCCGUUGCUCAAUGGAUAAAAGGUA